Molecule: long non-coding RNA, 227 nt
Filed under: Trifolium pratense (red clover)
Lineage: Eukaryota; Viridiplantae; Streptophyta; Magnoliopsida; Fabales; Fabaceae
Description: long non-coding RNA (TPRA_LNC012615)
Source: RNAcentral
UUAAAGAGUAAAUACAAUGUUCAUAUAGAAUAUAUACCUAGUAGUUGGCUUGCUUCCCCAUCGUCACCAUAUUUUUACAUCAUGGUAUUAGUUUAUGGCAUAUUUUACUAUCAUGAAGCAUCCUAUGUGUGUUUAGUAAAAACAAAUGUGAUAAAUAAUAAUGCUGAAAACUAUAAUACAAAUGCUAGAACCUGAGUUUUUUUGUUUGACCGAAGAGUCAAUUGGAG